GCGCUCAUAGCUCAGCUGGAUAGAGUGCAAGCCUCCGAAGCUUGAGGUCAGGCGUUCGAAUCGCCUUGGGCGCGCCA
This 77-nucleotide transfer RNA is filed under the name Candidatus Alloenteromonas pullistercoris. RNAcentral describes it as "tRNA-Arg". It matches the Rfam family "tRNA". Rfam says of the family: Transfer RNA (tRNA) molecules are approximately 80 nucleotides in length. Their secondary structure includes four short double-helical elements and three loops (D, anti-codon, and T loops). Further hydrogen bonds mediate the characteristic L-shaped molecular structure. tRNAs have two regions of fundamental functional importance: the anti-codon, which is responsible for specific mRNA codon recognition, and the 3' end, to which the tRNAs corresponding amino acid is attached (by aminoacyl-tRNA synthetases). tRNAs cope with the degeneracy of the genetic code in two manners: having more than one tRNA (with a specific anti-codon) for a particular amino acid; and 'wobble' base-pairing, i.e. permitting non-standard base-pairing at the 3rd anti-codon position. Lineage: Bacteria; Bacillati; Bacillota. The record is from RNAcentral.